This is a long non-coding RNA of Neopelma chrysocephalum (saffron-crested tyrant-manakin), 366 nucleotides long. RefSeq lists it as uncharacterized. The transcript has 3 exons. The record is from RefSeq and is a predicted model, not a curated record. Lineage: Eukaryota; Metazoa; Chordata; Aves; Passeriformes; Pipridae.
GUAGAAGCACCAUUCCCAUACCCAGGGCCACGGAAAGAAACCAGAAUUAGUUUUACACUUUGCUGGCACCCUCUACAUCCAUCUAAACUCAUGGAAAAGCCUGAAAUGAUCCAAAGCAAGCCAAAUUUUCUGGAAGCCCCAAGAUCCCGUUGCAGGAGCCGCUGCCCUUUGGAUGUUCUGAAACUUCCCAGCUCCCUCUGGUCCAGGGCACAAAUAAUCCCACGUCCUUGAGGGAGCUGUGGAUGGGUGGGAAUUCUCAGGCGACAGGAAUUUGGGAGCUGCAAUCCAAGCAGGCCUGGGGCAUUUGUUGUCCAGUUUGAUACUGGAGGCAGCUCAGGGUGGCUGAUCAGCAAAGGGCCAUCACAG